Molecule: ribosomal RNA, 445 nt
Filed under: uncultured bacterium
Lineage: Bacteria
Description: partial 16S ribosomal RNA
Rfam family: Bacterial small subunit ribosomal RNA
Source: RNAcentral
GUGAGGAAUAUUGGUCAAUGGACGAGAGUCUGAACCAGCCAAGUCGCGUGAAGGAAGACGGUUCUAUGAAUUGUAAACUUCUUUUGUGCAGGAAUAAAGUGGGUUACGUGUAACCUUUUGUAUGUACUGUACGAAUAAGGAUCGGCUAACUCCGUGCCAGCAGCCGCGGUAAUACGGAGGAUCCGAGCGUUAUCCGGAUUUAUUGGGGUUAAAGGGUGCGUAGGUGGAUUGAUAAGUCAGCGGUGAAAGUUUGCAGCUUAACUGUAAAAUUGCCGUUGAAACUGUCGGUCUUGAGUGCAAAUGAGGUAGGCGGAAUGUGUUGUGUAGCGGUGAAAUGCUUAGAUAUAACACAGAACUCCGAUUGCGAAGGCAGCUUACUGGGAUGCAACUGACACUGAUGCACGAAAGCGUGGGUAUCAAACAGGAUUAGAUACCCCAGUAGUCC